GUCCAUGGCCAUGCCACCCUGAACAAGCCUGAUGUCUGAUCUCAGAAGCUGAGCAGGGUCAGGCCUGGUUAGCACUUGGAUGGGAGACCACCUAGGAAGACCAGGUGCUGCAGGCA
This 116-nucleotide ribosomal RNA is filed under the name Pteropus alecto (black flying fox). The record is from RNAcentral. Lineage: Eukaryota; Metazoa; Chordata; Mammalia; Chiroptera; Pteropodidae.